GAUGAACGCUGGCGGCGGGCCUAAUACAUGCAAGUCGAGCGAACAGACGAGGAGCUUGCUCCUCUGACGUUAGCGGCGGACGGGUGAGUAACACGUGGAUAACCGACCUAUAAGACUGGGAUAACUUCGUGAAACCGGAGCUAAUACCGGAUAAUAUAUUGAACCGCAUGGUUCACUAGUGAAGGACAGUUUUGCUGUCACUUAUAGAUGGAUCCGCGCCGCAUUAGCUAGUUGGUAAGGUAACGGCGUACCAAGGCAACGAUGCGUAGCCGACCUGAGAGGGUGAUCGGCCACACUGGACCUGAGCCACGGUCCAGACUCCUACGGGAGGCAGCAGUAGGGAAUCUUCCGUAAUGGGCGAAAGCUUGACGGAGCACCGCCGCGUGAGUGACGAAGGUAUUCGGAUCGUAAAACUCUGUUAUUAGGGAAGAACAAAUGUGUAAGUAACUAUGCACGUCUUGACGGUACCUAAUCAGAAAGCCACGGCUAACUACGUG
Molecule: ribosomal RNA, 497 nt
Filed under: uncultured bacterium
Lineage: Bacteria
Description: partial 16S ribosomal RNA
Rfam family: Bacterial small subunit ribosomal RNA
Source: RNAcentral